Molecule: ribosomal RNA, 562 nt
Filed under: uncultured Sulfitobacter sp.
Lineage: Bacteria; Pseudomonadati; Pseudomonadota; Alphaproteobacteria; Rhodobacterales; Roseobacteraceae
Description: bacterial SSU rRNA
Rfam family: Bacterial small subunit ribosomal RNA
Source: RNAcentral
GGGCGAGCUGAUCUAGCCAUGCCGCGUGAGUGAUGAAGGUCUUAGGAUCGUAAGCUCUCUUACUGCUAGGGAUGAUAAUGACAGUACCUAGUAAAGAAGCCCCGGCUAACUCCGUGCCAGCAGCCGCGGUAAUACGGAGGGGGCUAGCGUUGUUCGGAAUUACUGGGCGUAAAGCGUACGUAGGCGGAUCAGAAAGUAUGGGGUGAAAUCCCAGGGCUUAACCCUGGAACUGCCUCAUAAACUCCUGGUCUUGAGUUCGAGAGAGGUGAGUGGAAUUCCAAGUGUAGAGGUGAAAUUCGUAGAUAUUUGGAGGAACACCAGUGGCGAAGGCGGCUCACUGGCUCGAUACUGACGCUGAGGUACGAAAGUGUGGGGAGCAAACAGGAUUAGAUACCCUGGUAGUCCACACCGUAAACGAUGAAUGCCAGUCGUCGGGCAGUAUACUGUUCGGUGACACACCUAACGGAUUAAGCAUUCCGCCUGGGGAGUACGGUCGCAAGAUUAAAGCUCAAAGGAAUUGACGGGGGCCCGCAACUAGCAUGGAGCAUGUGGUUUAUUCGAR